GUUGGCUGAGGAAACUUGGUGUUUGUACUUUCAGCUGCAGAGCGGAUGGAUGUUCUGUGUUCUUUGUUAUUGUGUAGUUUAUGAAAUAUUUGCUGAAGAAUCAUAAUUGCUCCAUUGAUAAACAAUAACCAUUUUAAGUUUGUAUACAACAAUUUUUAUCUGUUUCAUUUUGAAUAUUUAUGCUCCUUGUGCUCCAUUGAUAUUUUUGAAAUCAUAUUAGAUGUAGUACCGGAUUACUUAGUUGGUAUAACCUCUCUUGCAAUUCCACAUAUGCAUUAAAUGUGAAAUACAUGAUUAAUACUCUAUUAAUUGAUUAGCAUUGUUGGUCCCAUUAACUAAGUUUGUGCCAUUACGGCUAUGAGGUAUUGUCUGAUUUGGGCGUGACAAUUUUCAUGUCUUUGUUUUUUCGAAAAGACGUUUCAUUGAGUUGAUGUCGAUAAGCGAGAUGUGGCCAUGUCUAAUUUCCUUUUCAUUAUAAUUGUAGAUAAGACUAAGGUUGAAGUUGUAAUUCCUUUUGAUUGCUACAAAGAACUUCAAUUACAUGGAAGCAACUCUCAUUUAAGAUCUCCAACAAGACCAAUGACAUCUUCUUCGGACUCAUGGAUGAAGUUAUUUCACUACUAUUAUAAUGAAUGAGUUAUUAAGGUGUUAAGUGUUGGAACAUUGAAGUUAUAAUAUGGGUAUGCACCAAUUGUAGAAUCAAAUGAAGCUAUCCAUCAAUUGUUGGAACAUUAUUAUUCACUGAGUGUGUGAUGUGGGUAUUGGUUCUGGGUUUAUAUGUGUUCUCAAAAAGUUUGAUAAAGUGAAACAAAUAGUUAUACAUUGAAAUCGAAGGGAUUGAUUGUUACUAAUAUAAUGGUUGUUUGUUUAGAAUAUGAUAGAAUGGAUA
Vicia villosa (hairy vetch) is the source of this 889-nucleotide long non-coding RNA. RefSeq lists it as uncharacterized. NCBI's taxonomy places the organism in Eukaryota, Viridiplantae, Streptophyta, Magnoliopsida, Fabales, Fabaceae. The record is from RefSeq and is a predicted model, not a curated record. The transcript has 3 exons.